RNAcentral lists this ribosomal RNA (253 nucleotides) under uncultured bacterium. RNAcentral describes it as "partial 16S ribosomal RNA". It matches the Rfam family "Bacterial small subunit ribosomal RNA", at positions 524 to 776 of the family's 1533-position model. The record is from RNAcentral.
GACAGAGGGGGCAAGCGUUGCUCGGAAUUACUGGGCGUAAAGGGCGCGUAGGCGGGAUGGCAAGUCGGUCGUGAAAUCCCUCGGCUCAACCGAGGAACGUCGAUCGAUACUGCUGUUCUUGAGGAUUGCAGAGGAGACUGGAAUGCCCGGUGUAGCGGUGAAAUGCGCAGAUAUCGGGAGGAACACCAGUGGCGAAGGCGGCACUCUGGGCCGGUACUGACGCUGAGGAGCGAAAGCGUGGGGAGCGAACAGG